This 302-nucleotide ribosomal RNA is filed under the name uncultured bacterium. RNAcentral's name for it is "partial 16S ribosomal RNA". It matches the Rfam family "Bacterial small subunit ribosomal RNA", at positions 508 to 807 of the family's 1533-position model. The record is from RNAcentral.
GCAGUAGCCGCGGUAAGACGGAGGGUGCUAGCGUUGUUCGGAAUCACUGGGCGUAAAGGGCGCGUAGGCGGCCUGUUAAGUCGGAUGUGAAAGCCCGGGGCUCAACCCCGGAACUGCAUCCGAGACUGGCAGGCUUGAGACCGGGAGAGGAGGGUGGAAUAUCCAGUGUAGAGGUGAAAUUCGUAGAUAUUGGAUGGAACACCGGUGGCGAAAGCGGCUCUCUGGCCCGGAUCUGACGCUGAGGCGCGAAAGCGUGGGGAGCAAACAGGAUUAGAUACCCCUGUAGUCCCUGUCUCUUAUAC